RNAcentral lists this ribosomal RNA (360 nucleotides) under uncultured organism. RNAcentral describes it as "bacterial SSU rRNA". It matches the Rfam family "Bacterial small subunit ribosomal RNA", at positions 45 to 433 of the family's 1533-position model. The record is from RNAcentral.
UGCCUAACACAUGCAAGUCGAACGAGACCUUCGGGUCUAGUGGCGCACGGGUGCGUAACACGUGGGAAUCUGCCCUUCGGUUCGGAAUAACAGUGGGAAACUACUGCUAAUACCGGAUGAUGACGUAAGUCCAAAGAUUUAUCGCCGAAGGAUGAGCCCGCGUAGGAUUAGGUAGUUGGUGCGGUAAUGGCCUACCAAGCCGACGAUCCUUAGCUGGUCUGAGAGGAUGAUCAGCCACACUGGGACUGAGACACGGCCCAGACUCCUACGGGAGGCAGCAGUGGGGAAUAUUGGACAAUGGGCGAAAGCCUGAUCCAGCAAUGCCGCGUGAGUGAUGAAGGCCUUAGGGUUGUAAAGCUC